AACCUACCCAAUUAUUAUACUAAUAGCAAAUCAACCCCAAGUUACCACCGCCAAUUCCCCACUACACUAUACAAUCACCAACCCAUUCCAUAUAACAUGCUUACACCUGUACGUAGAACUUACAAUUAACUGACACACUACACAAUAAUAUACAUCACCAACAAUGUACAGCCCACCGCCAAGCGCAAAUUUCCCAAUCCAAUUCAAAUCAUACCCUUCAGCAAACCCACACCAAUCCCCGAUAACACAUACAACCUCUCUAGACAAAUGAUGGUUGCUCAAUUGAUUAAGCAUCUUCACCCACGACUAGUAGAUUUUGGGUUCAAGUCACAUUGAAAAGGAAGUGUAAAAACACUAUAAAUUCUUUAAAAUAAGGGGAAAUUUUAGGCUCGUAAAUUAUUCUCACAAAGGUUUAGGCUCAAAAAUUUUACUCUUUUCAUUCAUCAGAGCUUCAUCGAAGCUUCGCUGGAAUUUCUCUUUGGUGGUGGAGUCGUGAAUCCAAGUUCGAGUUCUGGUUUGCUGCUCCAAAGAUGAUGUGAAUUAGUACUUCUAUGGCCACUGAUUAGAAGGAUGUCUCUAUCCAGUUUUUGAGUAUCCACCAAGAAAAGUUUAUUUUCUUUGAAUCAUUUUUCAAGAAUACUGUUGCAUUGUCCUUACUGUUGUAUUCAUGAACAUGGACACGAUCAUGUAGCAUUAGAUUUAAUUUAGUCGUAAUUAUUCUCUUCAGUGAUUUCAAUUCAGUUAUACAGUUCAUCUA
Long non-coding RNA from Solanum dulcamara, 757 nucleotides. RefSeq lists it as uncharacterized. The transcript has 2 exons. The record is from RefSeq and is a predicted model, not a curated record. Lineage: Eukaryota; Viridiplantae; Streptophyta; Magnoliopsida; Solanales; Solanaceae.